CAAAUGUUUUCUCUACCCUGGAUCUUUUACUUCUCCUAGGUUCUGCUUCUACUUCUAUUUCUCUUGUCCUUAUUCUACUAGAGCUACUAGCUAUACCGCUAUCUACUCUAGUCUUAAGUGGAAAGGUGUCUUCAAAAUAUGUUGCAUCUCUGGCUUCUAUGAUAGUGUUGUUACUAAUAUCAUUUACUUCUGAACUUAUCACCAGAAAUCUAUUGGCAAUACUAUUGGCUGCAUAACCUAUGAAUAUGGCAUCCACUGUUUUAGGCCCUAUUUUCUUUCUCUUAAAAUCAGGUAUUUUUACUUUUGCCAAGCACCCCCACAC
This 322-nucleotide long non-coding RNA is filed under the name Phoenix dactylifera (date palm). RNAcentral's name for it is "long non-coding RNA (PDAC_LNC010169)". Lineage: Eukaryota; Viridiplantae; Streptophyta; Magnoliopsida; Arecales; Arecaceae. The record is from RNAcentral.